GUCUCAGUUCAGAUUGCAGGCUGCAACUCGCCUGCAUGAAGUCGGAAUUGCUAGUAAUCGCAGAUCAGCAUGCUGCGGUGAAUACGUUCCCGGGCCUUGUACACACCGCCCGUCACACCAUGGGAGUCGGUAACACCCGAAGUCGGUAGCCUAACCGUAAGGAGGGCGCCGCCGAAGGUGGGAUUGAUGACUGGGGUGAAGUCGUAACAAGGUAAC
This 216-nucleotide ribosomal RNA is filed under the name uncultured bacterium. Its description in RNAcentral is "partial 16S ribosomal RNA". It matches the Rfam family "Bacterial small subunit ribosomal RNA", at positions 1285 to 1500 of the family's 1533-position model. The record is from RNAcentral.